GUUUAAGUGUUUACCUGCUGUGGCACACCUGACCACUGAAGUGGUUUUGUUAUUUUAACCCUUUAACACCUGAACUAAGACAGAAUGGACAGAAAACUUCUUUAUUUGGCCCUUUACAUAAAUGUAAAACAUGUUUAAAAAAAUUUGAUUACAUAUAUGUACCAUUUAUUACCGUGAUGUCAGUAUUUUUGUAGUACCAAAGCUGUCCAUCAGGGGUCAGAAGACCAGUAUCAGAUUGUAUAUGACAGGGUUUGAAGCAAAGUUUUACCAUACAGUAAUGAAAAUGGGUUUCAGAAACUGAAUCAAAAAAGAUACACGUGGUGUUUAAGGGUUAUUAAAACACAUUUCUGUUUAUUUUUUUUCUUUCAAAUCAGUUGCUGAUGUGGAGGGAGCAU
Long non-coding RNA from Melanotaenia boesemani (Boeseman's rainbowfish), 395 nucleotides. RefSeq lists it as uncharacterized. The transcript has 2 exons. Lineage: Eukaryota; Metazoa; Chordata; Actinopteri; Atheriniformes; Melanotaeniidae. The record is from RefSeq and is a predicted model, not a curated record.